RNAcentral lists this ribosomal RNA (613 nucleotides) under Bacillus licheniformis. Its description in RNAcentral is "bacterial SSU rRNA". It matches the Rfam family "Bacterial small subunit ribosomal RNA", at positions 49 to 638 of the family's 1533-position model. The record is from RNAcentral. Lineage: Bacteria; Bacillati; Bacillota; Bacilli; Caryophanales; Bacillaceae.
CUAUACAUGCAAGUCGAGCGGACACGAUCGGGAGCUUGCUCCCUGUAUGUUAGCGGCGGACGGGUGAGUAACACGUGGGUAACCUGCCUGUAAGACUGGGAUAACUCCGGGAAACCGGGGCUAAUACCGGAUGCUUGAUUGAACCGCAUGGUUCAAUUAUAAAAGGUGGCUUCGGCUACCACUUACCGAUGGACCCCCGGCGCAAUAACUAAUUGGUGAGGUAACGGCUCACCCAGGGAACGAUGCGUAACCCAACUGAAAGGGUGAUCGGCCACACUGGGACUGAAACACGGGCCAAAAUCCUACGGGAGGCAGCAGUAAGGAAUCUUCCGCAAUGGACGAAAGUCUGACGGAACAACGCCCCGUGAGUGAUGAAAGUUUUCCGAUCGUAAAACUCUGUUGGUAGGGAAGAACCAGUACCGUUCGAAUAGGGCGGUACCUUGACGGUACCUAACCAGAAAGCCACGGCUAACUACGUGGCAGCAGCCGCGGUAAUACCUAAGUGGCAAGCGUUGUCCGGAAUUAUUUGGGCGUAAAGCGCGCGCAAGCCGUUUCCUAAGUCCUGAAGUGAAAGCCCCCGGCUUCAACCGGGGAGGGUCAUUGGAAACUGGGG